RNAcentral lists this ribosomal RNA (331 nucleotides) under uncultured eukaryote. Its description in RNAcentral is "partial 18S ribosomal RNA". It matches the Rfam family "Eukaryotic small subunit ribosomal RNA", at positions 1470 to 1796 of the family's 1831-position model. The record is from RNAcentral.
CCCCUAGAUGUUCUGGGCCGCACACGCGCUACACUGGCAGGUUCAUCGAGCUUCAUGCCCUGAUCUGAGAAGAACGGGAAAUCUUUGAACACCUGCCGUGCUUGGGAUAGAUGUUUGCAAUUAUUCAUCUUCAACGAGGAUUGCCUUGUAAGCGCACGUCAUCAGCGUGCAUUGAAUACGACCCUGUAUUCUGUACACACCGCCCGUCGCUCCUACCGAUUGAAGUUUUCGGUGAAUUUACUGGAGAUCCCUUUUGAAGGUGGUUCGCCACUGGAAGAAGUAUUCAAAAGUAAAUGAAUCGAAUGCUUUAGAGGAAGGAGAAGUCGUAACA